GACGAACGCUGGCGGCGUGCUUAACACAUGCAAGUCGAGCGGAAAGGCCCUGCUUUUGUGGGGUGCUCGAGUGGCGAACGGGUGAGUAACACGUGAGUAACCUGCCCUUGACUUUGGGAUAACUUCAGGAAACUGGGGCUAAUACCGGAUAGGAUCUCCUGCUGCAUGGUGGGGGUUGGAAAGUUUCGGCGGUUGGGGAUGGACUCGCGGCUUAUCAGCUUGUUGGUGGGGUAGUGGCUUACCAAGGCUUUGACGGGUAGCCGGCCUGAGAGGGUGACCGGCCACAUUGGGACUGAGAUACGGCCCAGACUCCUACGGGAGGCGGCAGUGGGGAAUAUUGCACAAUGGGCGGAAGCCUGAUGCAGCAACGCCGCGUGCGGGAUGACGGCCUUCGGGUUGUAAACCGCUUUCGCCUGUGACGAAGCGUGAGUGACGGUAAUGGGUAAAGAAGCACCGGCUAACUACGUG
Molecule: ribosomal RNA, 468 nt
Filed under: uncultured bacterium
Lineage: Bacteria
Description: partial 16S ribosomal RNA
Rfam family: Bacterial small subunit ribosomal RNA
Source: RNAcentral